CGAAACUGCUAGCUGGCCCGUCACGUCAGUGAUGUGUGCCGGCUUGGCGUUUGUCAUCCGUUCGAAUGAUAUGCGCGCUGCCCUUCACUGGGUUGGUGCUGCAUGUUUUCGAUCUUUUACUUUGAAAAAAUUAGAGUGUUUCAAGCAGGCAUGUUUGCUAUGAAUACAUUAGCAUGGAAUAAUAAUUUAGGACUUUGCUUCUAUUUUAUUGGUUUCUAGGAGUAAAGUAAUGAUUGAUAGGGAUAGUUGGGGGUGCUAGUAUUCAUCGGCCAGAGGUGAAAUUCUUGGAUUCGAUGAAGACUAACUAAUGCGAAAGCAUU
This 320-nucleotide ribosomal RNA is filed under the name Allapsidae sp. RNAcentral describes it as "SSU rRNA". The stretch from base 43 to 320 matches the Rfam family "Eukaryotic small subunit ribosomal RNA", at positions 678 to 955 of the family's 1831-position model. The record is from RNAcentral. Lineage: Eukaryota; Cercozoa; Glissomonadida; Viridiraptoridae.